This 398-nucleotide unclassified non-coding RNA is filed under the name Hevea brasiliensis (rubber tree). Lineage: Eukaryota; Viridiplantae; Streptophyta; Magnoliopsida; Malpighiales; Euphorbiaceae. The record is from RNAcentral.
GGGUGAAUGCCAUUCCUGCUAUUGAGGAGGUCAACAUUUUCAAGGAUGAUGUGGUUAUCCAAUUCAACAACCCGAAGGUUCAAGCAUCUAUUGCUGCAAACACCUGGGUUGUUAGUGGUUCUCCUCAAACCAAGAAAUUGCAGGAUAUCUUGCCUGGUAUCAUCAAUCAAUUGGGGCCGGAUAACUUGGACAACUUGCGUAAAUUGGCUGAACAGUUUAAACAGCAAGCACCUGGAGCAGGUGGUGAUGCAAAGAAUGCCCAAGAGGAGGAUGACGAUGUUCCAGAACUUGUCGAGGGAGAGACUUUUGAAGCUCCCGCAGAAGAAAAUCGUUCUUCUUAGAGAGAUCCUUUUGAAUGAAAGGAGUGUUUUAUGCCGUUUUAUACUUCCUAGAGUUGC